CACUUGGCACAUGUCUCUAAAACGCAAGUUUAAAUUUGAGCGGACACCUUUGGCUGAAGUUGAAGUAGUGAAAAGACUUCAACAGAAGUUUGGUCAUUCAAAAAAGUCUGUGCAACCUGAAGAAAGCAGUUGCAAAGAAAUUACAAGGCCUUUGGAGAUUAAUGCUGUUGGAGAAUAUGCUACAGCAAUAGAGGGACAUGUGAAAGUCCUGCAGGUCCAAUAUAGAAAGAGACUCACAUUGUUGAAGAUCGAAUGAGGAGGACCUUUGCCUGGAGGCAGCAGGAGAUUUCUAGUGGUAUGACUGUUGAAGAUGUCGUCAACAAAUAUCCAUUCUUGAAGAGUCCAACAGGGCUUUAUCAAGAAAUUGGUUUCCUGUAUAAAUGUGUUCAUCUGAGCCGCCAUUUUCGAGAACCUUUUGGACCCAUUACAUCCAGCGUGCUACGUCUUGCUCAAGGGAAAUCCACUUUAGCAAAGCUGCAUAAAGAAGCUAGAGAAGAAUCUCUUUGAAGACCAUCUUGGAAUUGAUUUUAAUGCAGCACUUCUCAUGUUGCCAGCCUAGUUCAGAGAGAAACUUGAACAUUUCAUUGUGCUUGGAGAGAGUGAACCAUCUUCACCAUAUCCUUCUGUUCAAGUACAGGAGACCACUGACUGGAAAACUGUGUUUACAAGAAGAGUCACUGCAGUCAUCAAAGUUGAUGGGAUCGAAAUCUGCCGGGCGAAUGGUGUGGAUGAAGGGGCUCUUGCAGCAUUUUGUGCUUAUUUCGUCUUCAAUUUGACAUUUCCAUCUCAUCUGAAGAACACCCUGGUGUUUCUUCAGCGGUAUGUUCUGAAACUUACUGUGGAUGGGGACAAGCCUCUACCUAACCCAGUUACCAGAAUAAUCAACCUCUUACAGUAACAUCAGCAAAAAUGCCCCACCUGUUCAAUUGCCCUAAAUGUUCUCGAAGAACAUUCACAAUCAUCAAAUUAAUC
Long non-coding RNA from Carassius carassius (crucian carp), 972 nucleotides. RefSeq lists it as uncharacterized. Lineage: Eukaryota; Metazoa; Chordata; Actinopteri; Cypriniformes; Cyprinidae. The record is from RefSeq and is a predicted model, not a curated record. The transcript is spliced from 5 exons.